Non-coding RNA from Acanthosepion pharaonis, 98 nucleotides. The record is from the annotation of a GenBank genome assembly. NCBI's taxonomy places the organism in Eukaryota, Metazoa, Mollusca, Cephalopoda, Sepiida, Sepiidae.
GUUCAAACACCGGUUCUUGUACGAUCACCGAAGUUAAGUAACGCUGAUCUUGGUCAGUACCUACAUGAGUGACCGCUUGGGAAUACCAGGUGCUGUAA